AUGGAAUUUGGCAGCUCCAUUUCAUUCGCUGUCAAUCAGCGUCGCUGCUACUUGAUGCUUCCUCCUCGCUUUAGAUCCCCCAUUUCUUUUGGCGAUGCCCAGAGCGCAGUUGUAUCCCAGCCAGGCAGCCCUCAUCACCAAGCGAUUAAAUCAUCGGGAAAAAAACCAGGAGAGACGUCUCUUCUCAGACAUAAUAGUAAAAAGGGGGCGGCGGGGCCCCCCCCCCCCCCCCCCCCCCCCCCCCCCCCCCCCCCCCCCCCCCCCCCCCCCCCCCCCCCCCCCCCCCCCCCCCCCCCCCCCCCCCCCCCCCCCCCCCCCCCCCCCCCCCCCCCCCCCCCCCCCCCCCCCCCCCCCCCCCCCCCCCCCCCCCCCCCCCCCCCCCCCCCCCCCCCCCCUGGUGCCGAGCGGUGCUGGAGAGCGGCGGCUGCAGGGGGCAGAGCGGGGAAGGCUCCUGCGCCCAGCUGGGUUUGUUUUCCCGGCGUCCCAAAGUGCCUGGACCCGGGGUUGGUUCUGUUUGGGGUCCCGCUGCAGCUGUGCUGGGCUGCUGUGGGUGCUGCGUGGAGGGAUUGGGGUGUUGGGGAGUGUGGGCAGCACACCAGGGACUGACAUCCUGACAUCUGAGGGUCCUGAGCCCUGAGCAUCCUGAUCCCUGAGCAUCUUGAUUCUUGGACAUCCCAAUCUCUGAGCAUCCUGAUCCCUGAGCAUCCUGAUCUCUGAGCAUCCUGUGCCCUGACUAUCCUGACCCCUGAACAUCUUGAUUCUUGGACAUCCCAAUCCCAGAGCAUCCUGACCCCUGAAUAUCCUGAUCCUUGAGCAUCCUGAUCUUUGAGGCUCCUGAUCCCUGAUCAUCCUGAUCUUCGAACUUCCUGAUCCCUGAGCACCUUGAUCCCUGACUAUCCUGAUCCCUGAGCGUCCUGAUCCCUGAGCAUCCUGAUCUCUGAGCAUCUUGAUCCCUGAGCAUCCUGAUCUCUGGGCAUCUUGAUCCCUGAGCAUCCUGAUACCUGAACACCUUGAUCUCUGAGCAUCCUGAUCCCUGAGCAUCUUCAUCCCUGAGCAUCCUGACCCCUGAACAUCUUGAUUCUUGGACAUCCCAAUCCCAGAGCAUCCUGACCCCUGAAUAUCCUGAUCCCUGAGCACCUUGAUCCCUGACUAUCCUGAUCCCUGAGCGUCCUGAUCCCUGAGCAUCCUGAUCUCUGAGCAUCUUGAUCCCUGAGCAUCCUGAUCUCUGGGCAUCUUGAUCCCUGAGCAUCCUGAUACCUGAACACCUUGAUCUCUGAGCAUCCUGAUCCCUGAGCAUCUUCAUCCCUGAGCAUCCUGACCCCUGAACAUCUUGAUUCUUGGACAUCCCAAUCCCAGAGCAUCCUGACCCCUGAAUAUCCUGAUCCCUGAGCACCUUGAUCCCUGACUAUCCUGAUCCCUGAGCACCUUGAUCCCUGACUAUCCUGAUCCCUGACUAUCCUGAUCCCUGACAUCCUGAUCCUUGAAUAUCCUGAUCUUUGAACAUCCUGAUCCCUGAGCAUCCUGAUCCUUGAGCGUCCUGACAUCUGAAGGUCCUGAUCCCUGAGCACCUUAAUCUCUGAGCACCCUAAACCCUGAGCAUCCCCAACCCUGAACAUUGCAGCCUCUGAAUAUCCUCACCCCUGAGCAUCCCAGUUCCUGAGCAUUCCAACAUCCAAGGAUCCUGAUCUCUGAACAUCCCAGCCUUUGGGAAUCCUGGUCCCUGAGCAUUCUGAUCCCUGAGCAUCCUGGUCUCCAAUAAUCCAAUCCCCUGAGCAUCCUGAUCUCUAAGCAUCCUGAGCCCCGAGCACCUCGGCUCUGAGCAUCCUUCUCUCCAAGAAUCCUGACCCCUGAUCACCCUGACCCUCAAUCGUCCUGCCUCAGAUCACCCCAGCCUCAGAUCAUCCUACCUCAGAUCAUCUCAGUCUCAGAUCAUCCCAAACUCAGAUCAUCCUAAACUCACAUCAUCCCACCCCCCCCCCCCCCCCCCCCCCCCCCCCCCCCCCCCCCCCCCCCCCCCCCCCCCCCCCCCCCCCCCCCCCCCCCCCCCCCCCCCCCCCCC
Ficedula albicollis (Collared flycatcher) is the source of this 2059-nucleotide long non-coding RNA. The record is from Ensembl. NCBI's taxonomy places the organism in Eukaryota, Metazoa, Chordata, Aves, Passeriformes, Muscicapidae.